Molecule: ribosomal RNA, 519 nt
Filed under: Triticum aestivum (bread wheat)
Lineage: Eukaryota; Viridiplantae; Streptophyta; Magnoliopsida; Poales; Poaceae
Description: partial small subunit ribosomal RNA
Source: RNAcentral
AUGGUCCGCACGAUGACUGAAGGCACCAUGAAUAGGUUUUUGAGCUCCGCGAAGGCCGAGAUGCUUCAAAAGAACGAGACGGAGACAAGAUGUUCGUGUCGAAGAUGCAAGCUGAAGAGCCUUAUUGCGGACCCGGAUUCCAGGCAGGUGCGGGACGACCUGCUCUUGCGUGGUUUCAUGGAUGGCUAUCGGUGGCAAGGUGAUGAAGAUGACUAUGAAGUCGUCCAUGGCCGGGGCCGGGCAAGAAAUGAGGAAGGGCAACAAGACAAGUACCACCGCGGCGAGGGCGGGCGAGAAGACGAAGAAUCUCCAGGACAUGAUCACGACGGUGAUGCUGUACACAGUCAUCAUGUAGAAGAUGUCGUACAUGAUGAUGAGGAAGAUCAAGACGAAGGGCAUGAUCAUGAAGAUGAAGAUGCUAGGUGCAGGACCCUCAUAUUCAAUAGCUGCUUCUCAAGCAGACGGAUAACGCAAGAGCUGCCGCCUGAGAGAAAGCCAAGCUGGAUCAACUGGAGAUAG